CCUACGGGUGGCAGCAGUGGGGAAUAUUGCACAAUGGGGGAAACCCUGAUGCAGCGACGCCGCGUGAGUGAGGAAGUAUUUCGGUAUGUAAAGCUCUAUCAGCAGGGAAGAAAAUGACGGUACCUGACUAAGAAGCCCCGGCUAACUACGUGCCAGCAGCCGCGGUAAUACGUAGGGGGCAAGCGUUAUCCGGAUUUACUGGGUGUAAAGGGAGCGUAGACGGUUAAUCAAGUCAGGAGUGAAAACCCAGGGCUCAACCUUGGGACUGCUUUUGAAACUGAGUAGCUGGAGUGCAGGAGAGGUAAGCGGAAUUCCUAGUGUAGCGGUGAAAUGCGUAGAUAUUAGGAGGAACACCAGUGGCGAAGGCGGCUUACUGGACUGUAACUGACGUUGAGGCUCGAAAGCGUGGGGAGCAAACAGGAUUAGAUACCCUGGUAGUC
Molecule: ribosomal RNA, 440 nt
Filed under: uncultured bacterium
Lineage: Bacteria
Description: partial 16S ribosomal RNA
Rfam family: Bacterial small subunit ribosomal RNA
Source: RNAcentral